UCGAGGACACGGCCCGUGGGAGAAUUGAACUCACAACCUUGGCACUACCUGGACUGUGCUCCGACUGACUGAGCCCUCUGCAUCACAGCCUCCCAGAGCUCCCAGGCAGCUGCCAGCUAUUAAAUGCCAACCGACAGCCUGCAGAGAUGCCUUCAAAUCAAAGGUUCAGGUGGGAUGAAGUUUUGUUUGGACGAAGGUGGGAGUUUCCAGGGAGCCAGCUGGAAGUGCAGAAGGGAUGGAAAGCUUUCC
Molecule: long non-coding RNA, 249 nt
Organism: Oenanthe melanoleuca
Lineage: Eukaryota; Metazoa; Chordata; Aves; Passeriformes; Muscicapidae
Exons: 3
Source: RefSeq, a predicted model, not a curated record